ACAACAUUCGGACCAUCGGUCUACCGAGCAAUCUCACUCGCUCGGUAAAAGAUCUUCCUUUCGUCGU
RNAcentral lists this microRNA precursor (67 nucleotides) under Bombyx mori (domestic silkworm). RNAcentral's name for it is "mir-2774 microRNA precursor family". It matches the Rfam family "mir-2774 microRNA precursor family". Lineage: Eukaryota; Metazoa; Arthropoda; Insecta; Lepidoptera; Bombycidae. The record is from Rfam by way of RNAcentral.